RNAcentral lists this ribosomal RNA (483 nucleotides) under uncultured bacterium. RNAcentral's name for it is "partial 16S ribosomal RNA". It matches the Rfam family "Bacterial small subunit ribosomal RNA", at positions 30 to 507 of the family's 1533-position model. The record is from RNAcentral.
UUGAACGCUGGCGGCAGGCCUAACACAUGCAAGUCGAGCGGAUGAAGGGAGCUUGCUCCUGGAUUCAGCGGCGGACGGGUGAGUAAUGCCUAGGAAUCUGCCUGGUAGUGGGGGAUAGCGUCCGGAAACGGGCGCUAAUACCGCAUACGUCCUGAGGGAGAAAGUGGGGGAUCUUCGGACCUCACGCUAUCAGAUGAGCCUAGGUCGGAUUAGCUAGUUGGUGGGGUAAAGGCCUACCAAGGCGACGAUCCGUAACUGGUCUGAGAGGAUGAUCAGUCACACUGGAACUGAGACACGGUCCAGACUCCUACGGGAGGCAGCAGUGGGGAAUAUUGGACAAUGGGCGAAAGCCUGAUCCAGCCAUGCCGCGUGUGUGAAGAAGGUCUUCGGAUUGUAAAGCACUUUAAGUUGGGAGGAAGGGCAGUAAGUUAAUACCUUGCUGUUUUGACGUUACCAACAGAAUAAGCACCGGCUAACUUCGUG